Molecule: ribosomal RNA, 388 nt
Filed under: uncultured bacterium
Lineage: Bacteria
Description: bacterial SSU rRNA
Rfam family: Bacterial small subunit ribosomal RNA
Source: RNAcentral
GGGUCGUAAACUUCUUUUAUAUGGGAAUAAAGUUUUCCACGUGUGGAAUUUUGUAUGUACCAUAUGAAUAAGGAUCGGCUAACUCCGUGCCAGCAGCCGCGGUAAUACGGAGGAUCCGAGCGUUAUCCGGAUUUAUUGGGUUUAAAGGGAGCGUAGGUGGAUUGUUAAGUCAGUUGUGAGAGUUUGCGGCUCAACCGUAAAAUUGCAGUUGAAACUGGCAGUCUUGAGUACAGUAGAGGUGGGCGGAAUUCGUGGUGUAGCGGUGAAAUGCUUAGAUAUCACGAAGAACUCCGAUUGCGAAGGCAGCUCACUAGACUGUUACUGACACUGAUGCUCGAAAGUGUGGGUAUCAAACAGGAUUAGAUACCCUGGUAGUCCACACAGUAAA